GGGCUUGACAUCCCACGAACCUUGCCGAAAGGCAGGGGUGCCCGCAAGGGAGCGCGGAGACAGGUGGUGCAUGGCUGUCGUCAGCUCGUGUCGUGAGAUGUUGGGUUAAGUCCCGCAACGAGCGCAACCCUCACCCCUUGUUGCCAUCAGGUCAUGCUGGGCGCUCUAGGGGAACUGCCCCGGUCAACGGGGAGGAAGGCGGGGACGACGUCAAGUCAUCAUGCCCCUUACGCCCUGGGCUACACACGUGCUACAAUGGCCGGUACAAAGGGAUGCGAGACCGCGAGGUGGAGCCAAACCCAAAAAGCCGGUCUAAGUUCAGAUUGGAGUCUGCAACUCGACUCCAUGAAGGAGGAAUCGCUAGUAAUCACCCAUCAGCACGGGGUGGUGAAUACGUUCCCGGGCCUUGUACACACCGCCCGUCACACCACGAAAGUCAGCUGUACUCGAAGUCGCUGAG
Molecule: ribosomal RNA, 460 nt
Filed under: uncultured Methylomirabilota bacterium
Lineage: Bacteria; Methylomirabilota (SeqCode)
Description: bacterial SSU rRNA
Rfam family: Bacterial small subunit ribosomal RNA
Source: RNAcentral